ACCGCAAGAACAGAGGAUGCAUGAAACUUCCAGGAUUUAUUCUUGAUAUCGAGGACGCACCAAUGCAGACUUGAGCACCGAUCUCGCUCUAGAAGUUCCAGAGAAGUCAUUGCAACUGGAGUCGGCCAUACAAUGCUCACCCUGACAUUGCUGGUAACAUGGACAAUUAAGCUGAAAGAAGAAAAAAAAGUGGGCUCCCUAAUGGGCCACAGUAUUCGAACACUGGUUUGAAACCUACAGGUAAGUGUGUUGAAGCAGGAUUGGAACUAAACUCAGCAGGACUAUGGUCCUCCAGGAACUAAGCUUGUAGGUGAGUUUCUACCUACUGUAUCCUUUAUUCUAUUGGUUUUCAUAGUUUUGUUUAUGCAUAGUUAUUUAAUAUUGUGUAACCAUAUAUUUUAUUACUAGCUUGAUAUAAUAAUUUAAUAACUCUCAAUAAUAAUGUUUAUUAUAAAUUAUAUGUUUGAUUGGACAGUGGAGAAGAAAUAGAAAACAAAGCAUAUUAUAUGUUUCGUGUUAAUUUAUUAUAAUUAUUUAUUGUUAUAGCCUUACUAUUACAUGUAUUUUUUUAUGUUAUUCUGAUGUAACUUCAAAAAAACAUGUCAAACCAUCACAUCUUUAACACCAUAGCUCAUUUCCCACCAGCAGAUGAGUGCAUUUAUUGGAUUAUGCAGCGUUUGAAAGGAACUUUUCCUGGUAAUAGUUGUGGUCAUGACUAAGCCAUUGCAACAAUCAUUCAUCUUCAUUCCCCUCUGGCUAUAAUGUUCAUCUCCCGCUGAGAAUUCGCAACAAUUUUCGUGGCCACAAACAUGUUUUGCUCUGCAUGUGUGUACUUGCAACCAGGGCAAGCGAUGUUGUUGGGCCUUUUCGCAGAAUCACAUGUGAAGGUAUGUGAAACUGCUGACAACAAUCUGUCCGUGCGAAGAGCUCGUUUUGAUCUCUGGAACACUUGCGGUGGAUUUCCAGAGCGCUGAAGGUGUACGGUAGGAAACGAAGCAUUCCUGUGCACUUAACUACAAAACAAAAGAGGAAAACAAAGUCCAACUCAAAGCCUCCACUUCACAUUCUCCACACUAGACGAGGAGCAUGUUUCCUUCUCGCUCUCAAGUACAUUCACAAAAUUCUUUUUCACAUUGUUGGGUUUGCACGUCCCUCCCUCUCGAGCUGGCGGUGGGGGGAAGGCUAGAGCGACGGGACUCUGUUAAAAUCAUUUCCAAAUUCCUGCAAUGAUGUGUGUCGGGACUGAGGCACAUGAAGAAUCUAUUAGGGGGCCUCUCUAUUGCACUCUGGGAAGGUGGCCAACUCAGCCGCCGGACAAUGGAAAUCCAGCUCAACAAUAACAUCCUGCCUGGGGAAUGGAGGGGGGUGGAAACAGAGAAGGAUGCCAUUGAGGUCACAGUCAUCUAGUGAGGGUUUUCUUCAGAAAAGCAUGCAGUAAACUCUGUCUACCUGCAGAAAACACCAUGCAUUAGAGCAGUUUGCUCAGGGUUCGGAUUACCGCUGGAAUAAACUAGCCUCCACACAAUGUCGGAUAGUUUUUUGUGAACUUCCUUCAAAACUUUGCAGUUAUAAAUCGGAAAAGGAACAAAAUCAGCAUGCCAUUCAUCUCUCAGUGCUUGAAUUUCACUUGUUGUACAACUCUUGUUUCACGAGAGCAUGAAAUGCAGCAUUCGUGACUAAGGGUGUGUUCAUAAUUGGCAGCUUUGGAUUGAUUGAAAUGAACUCAAUUGCUCGGUUUGUGCAGUUCAUUUCAGUAAGGCUAUGACCAUGCGGCAAUUAUCAAGCUUUAUUUCAUACUGCAGAUUCUGAAAGUCUACAUCCAUACCCAAAUCAUUUGAAGAAAGGUCUGCGUACAGAUGGAAACAAAAAAACUGGUUUAAAAUGUUGUGAGCAUGAAGACCAGCUGGCUGACUAUGGACAAUAACACAAGAAGAUGUCUGAGAAUGCACAAAUAUUGAAAAAUAGCUGAUGCAGCUAACUUGUAAUGCGUCUAGCCAUCUAGUUGAUACAGUUUUGUUGUAACAGUGCUAAUAAACUUAACAGCAUCUGCAGCACAA
Molecule: non-coding RNA, 2057 nt
Organism: Danio rerio (zebrafish)
Lineage: Eukaryota; Metazoa; Chordata; Actinopteri; Cypriniformes; Danionidae
Source: RefSeq, a predicted model, not a curated record